RNAcentral lists this ribosomal RNA (499 nucleotides) under uncultured bacterium. Its description in RNAcentral is "partial 16S ribosomal RNA". It matches the Rfam family "Bacterial small subunit ribosomal RNA", at positions 28 to 507 of the family's 1533-position model. The record is from RNAcentral.
GACGAACGCUGGCGGCGUGCCUAAUACAUGCAAGUCGAGCGAAGUUUUUCUGGUGCUUGCACCGGAAAAACUUAGCGGCGAACGGGUGAGUAACACGUAAAGAACCUGCCUCAUAGACUGGGACAACUAUUGGAAACGAUAGCUAAUACCGGAUAACAGCAUUAACUGCAUGGUUGAUGUUUAAAAGUUGGUUUUGCUAACACUAUGAGAUGGCUUUGCGGUGCAUUAGCUAGUUGGUGGGGUAAAGGCCUACCAAGGCGACGAUGCAUAGCCGACCUGAGAGGGUGAUCGGCCACACUGGGACUGAGUCACGGCCCAGACUCCUACGGGAGGCAGCAGUAGGGAAUCUUCCGCAAUGGGCGAAAGCCUGACGGAGCAACGCCGCGUGAGUGAAGAAGGAUUUCGGUUCGUAAAGCUCUGUUGUUAGGGAAGAAUGAUUGUGUAGUAACUAUACACAGUAGAGACGGUACCUAACCAGAAAGCCACGGCUAACUACGUG